RNAcentral lists this ribosomal RNA (899 nucleotides) under uncultured bacterium. RNAcentral's name for it is "bacterial SSU rRNA". It matches the Rfam family "Bacterial small subunit ribosomal RNA", at positions 8 to 916 of the family's 1533-position model. The record is from RNAcentral.
AGAGUUUGAUCAUGGCUCAGGAAGAACGCUGGCGGCGUGCUUAACACAUGCAAGUCGAACGGUGAAGCAGGAGCUUGCUCCUGUGGAUCAGUGGCGAACGGGUGAGUAACACGUGAGUAACCUGCCCCAGACUCUGGGAUAAGCGUUGGAAACGACGUCUAAUACCGGAUACGAGACGAGAAGGCAUCUUCAUCGUCUGGAAAGAAUUUCGGUCUGGGAUGGACUCGCGGCCUAUCAGGUAGUUGGUGAGGUAACGGCCCACCAAGCCUACGACGGGUAGCCGGCCUGAGAGGGUGACCGGCCACACUGGGACUGAGACACGGCCCAGACUCCUACGGGAGGCAGCAGUGGGGAAUAUUGCACAAUGGGCGCAAGCCUGAUGCAGCAACGCCGCGUGAGGGACGACGGCCUUCGGGUUGUAAACCUCUUUUAGCAGGGAAGAAGCGAAAGUGACGGUACCUGCAGAAAAAGCACCGGCUAACUACGUGCCAGCAGCCGCGGUAAUACGUAGGGUGCAAGCGUUAUCCGGAAUUAUUGGGCGUAAAGAGCUCGUAGGCGGUUUGUCGCGUCUGCUGUGAAAACCCGAGGCUCAACCUCGGGCCUGCAGUGGGUACGGGCAGACUAGAGUGCGGUAGGGGAGAUUGGAAUUCCUGGUGUAGCGGCGGAAUGCGCAGAUAUCAGGAGGAACACCGAUGGCGAAGGCAGAUCUCUGGGCCGUAACUGACGCUGAGGAGCGAAAGCGUGGGGAGCGAACAGGAUUAGAUACCCUGGUAGUCCACGCCGUAAACGUUGGGAACUAGAUGUGGGGGCCAUUCCACGGCUUCCGUGUCGCAGCUAACGCAUUAAGUUCCCCGCCUGGGGAGUACGGCCGCAAGGCUAAAACUCAAAGGAAUUGACGG